CUCACCAGGUGUCUUACCUCUGUCCAGAGACAACUAUUGGCAGAACCUAUGUAAAAUCCAACUGCAAAAGAGGCUUAAAAUGUAAUUUUCAGGUUUCCAAUUCUUUGCAAUAGUUAACACAAAAGCAUGGGAACAGGGUAAAAGAAAUGAGCAGUUAUGAAAAAGGACAAGAAUUACUCAAGCAGCAACACAAAAAAGAUCAAACAGAUUCACAGUUCAGGAAAAAAAAAAUCCAGACUGAAGUUCCAAGAUUCACAGUACUGGCAUCCCAGAAUGAGAAAAAAAGACAGAACGAGGCAAUGGAAUAUUUAAAGAGACGAGAGCAGAGAAUUUUCCAAAACUGAGGAAAGAAAUCAAGCCACAGAUCUAAGAAAUUCCAGGUGACUGUACCUCCCUAGCAAGAUGACAUAAUGGCAUCAUCCCAUGCAACAAGAAGGGGAAACUACAGCACUUCCAAGAAGUUUAUUAGCCAUGUUUCUAGCAAGUGCCAGAAUCAGUACCAGAACCUACAUAUUCUAAGUCCUCAUGGAUCUGAGGAGGAAGCAACCUUAGCCCAUUAUGCCGCAGAGAUUUCAUGUAUUAAAAAGACUGGGGUCAGAGUUGACCAAGGUUCCUUAGGACUUUACUAAUGCAUACCCCUUCUGAAGUAAU
Long non-coding RNA from Neofelis nebulosa (Clouded leopard), 651 nucleotides. RefSeq lists it as uncharacterized. The transcript has 4 exons. Lineage: Eukaryota; Metazoa; Chordata; Mammalia; Carnivora; Felidae. The record is from RefSeq and is a predicted model, not a curated record.